RNAcentral lists this ribosomal RNA (666 nucleotides) under Didymella americana. RNAcentral's name for it is "partial 18S ribosomal RNA". The stretch from base 1 to 172 matches the Rfam family "Eukaryotic small subunit ribosomal RNA", at positions 1662 to 1831 of the family's 1831-position model. Lineage: Eukaryota; Fungi; Ascomycota; Dothideomycetes; Pleosporales; Didymellaceae. The record is from RNAcentral.
GUACACACCGCCCGUCGCUACUACCGAUUGAAUGGCUCAGUGAGGCGUUCGGACUGGCUCGGAGAGGUUGGCAACGACCACUCCGAGCCGGAAAGUUCGUCAAACUCGGUCAUUUAGAGGAAGUAAAAGUCGUAACAAGGUUUCCGUAGGUGAACCUGCGGAAGGAUCAUUACCUAGAGUUGUAGGCUUUGCCUGCUAUCUCUUACCCAUGUCUUUUGAGUACCUUCGUUUCCUCGGCGGGUCCGCCCGCCGAUUGGACAAUUUAAACCAUUUGCAGUUGCAAUCAGCGUCUGAAAACUUAUAGUUACAACUUUCAACAACGGAUCUCUUGGUUCUGGCAUCGAUGAAGAACGCAGCGAAAUGCGAUAAGUAGUGUGAAUUGCAGAAUUCAGUGAAUCAUCGAAUCUUUGAACGCACAUUGCGCCCCUUGGUAUUCCAUGGGGCAUGCCUGUUCGAGCGUCAUUUGUACCUUCAAGCUCUGCUUGGUGUUGGGUGUUUGUCUCGCCUCUGCGCGCAGACUCGCCUCAAAACAAUUGGCAGCCGGCGUAUUGAUUUCGGAGCGCAGUACAUCUCGCGCUUUGCACUCAUAACGACGACGUCCAAAAGUACAUUUUUACACUCUUGACCUCGGAUCAGGUAGGGAUACCCGCUGAACUUAAGCAUAUC